RNAcentral lists this ribosomal RNA (549 nucleotides) under uncultured Glomus. RNAcentral describes it as "SSU rRNA". It matches the Rfam family "Eukaryotic small subunit ribosomal RNA", at positions 548 to 1098 of the family's 1831-position model. The record is from RNAcentral. Lineage: Eukaryota; Fungi; Glomeromycota; Glomeromycetes; Glomerales; Glomeraceae.
UUGGAGGGCAAGUCUGGUGCCAGCAGCCGCGGUAAUUCCAGCUCCAAUAGCGUAUAUUAAAGUUGUUGCAGUUAAAAAGCUCGUAGUUGGAUUUCGGGAUCAGCAGGUUGGUCGUGCCAAUGGUAUGCACUGGCCUUGCUGAUUCCUCCCUCUUGAUGAGCCGUAAUGCCAUUAAUUUGGUGUUGCGGGGAAUCAGGACUGUUACUUUGAAAAAAUUAGAGUGUUUAAAGCAAGCUUACGCUUGAAUACAUUAGCAUGGAAUAAUGAAAUAGGACAUCAGAUUCUAUUUUGUUGGUUUCUAGGAUCGAUGUAAUGAUUAAUAGGGAUAGUUGGGGGCAUUAGUAUUCAAUUGUCAGAGGUGAAAUUCUUGGAUUUAUUGAAGACUAACUACUGCGAAAGCAUUUGCCAAGGAUGUUUUCAUUAAUCAAGAACGAAAGUUAGGGGAUCGAAGACGAUCAGAUACCGUCGUAGUCUUAACCAUAAACUAUGCCGACUAGGGAUCGGAUGAUGUUAAUUUUUUAAUGACUCAUUCGGCACCUUACGGGAAAC